AGCAUUGCAUAAUGAUCAAAAUAUUUUAUAGGACAAGGAUGGGGCAUGCGGGACAUUAGCUAGUUGGUAAGGUAAACGGGCUUACCCAAGGGCUACGAUGUUUUAGGGGAUGAGAGGGAUGACCCCCCCCCACACUGGUACUGAGACACGGGACCCAGACUCCUACGGAGGCAGCAGUAAAGGGAAAUAUUGGGUCAAAUGGGACGGAAAGUUCUGAAACCCAGCCUGCCGCGUGCCAGGAAAGACGGGCCCUUACGGGGUUGUUAAACUGCUUUUGCCAGGGGAUAAACCCUUUCUUAUGUAUAGAAAGGGCUGAAAUGUUACUCUGAGAAAUUAAGGAUUGGCUUAACUCCGUGCCCAGCAGCCCGCGGUUAAUACGGGAGGGGUUCCGAAGCGUUUUCGGAUUUUAUUGGGGUUUUAAAAGGGUGGCGUUAGGUGGUUUUUUUUAAGUCAAAAGUGGGACGGCAGCUUAACUGUCGCGAGUGCCCCUGAUACUGAGGAAACUUGAGUGAACUA
This 516-nucleotide ribosomal RNA is filed under the name uncultured bacterium. RNAcentral's name for it is "bacterial SSU rRNA". It matches the Rfam family "Bacterial small subunit ribosomal RNA", at positions 173 to 653 of the family's 1533-position model. The record is from RNAcentral.